AUUGAACGCUGGCGGCAGGCUUAACACAUGCAAGUCGAACGAAGCUGUUUUAACUGGUGCUUGCACCGACUUAAACAACUGAGUGGCGAACGGGUGAGUAACACGUGGGUAACCUGCCCCAAAGCGGGGGAUAACAUUUGGAAACAGAUGCUAAUACCGCAUAACCACAGAAACCACAUGGUUUCUGUGUCAAAGAUGGUUUCGGCUAUCACUUUGGGAUGGACCCGCGGCGUAUUAGCUAGUUGGUAAGGUAAUGGCUUACCAAGGCAAUGAGACGUAGCCGAACUGAGAGGGUGAUCGGCCACAUUGGGACUGAGACACGGCCCAAACUCCUACGGGAGUCAGCAGUAGGGAAUCUUCCACAAUGGACGAAAGUCUGAUGGAGCAACGCCGCGUUAGUGAAGAAGGUUUUCGGAUCGUAAAACUCUGUUGUCAGAGAAGAACGUGUGCGAGAGUAACUGUUCGUGCAGUGACGGUAUCUGGCCAGAAAGCCACGGCUAACUACGUGCCAGCCGCCGCCGUAA
RNAcentral lists this ribosomal RNA (524 nucleotides) under uncultured bacterium. Its description in RNAcentral is "partial 16S ribosomal RNA". It matches the Rfam family "Bacterial small subunit ribosomal RNA", at positions 30 to 523 of the family's 1533-position model. The record is from RNAcentral.